Small nuclear RNA from Tursiops truncatus (common bottlenose dolphin), 152 nucleotides. Its record names the gene U1. It matches the Rfam family "U1 spliceosomal RNA". Rfam says of the family: U1 is a small nuclear RNA (snRNA) component of the spliceosome (involved in pre-mRNA splicing). Its 5' end forms complementary base pairs with the 5' splice junction, thus defining the 5' donor site of an intron. The record is from Ensembl. Lineage: Eukaryota; Metazoa; Chordata; Mammalia; Artiodactyla; Delphinidae.
AAACUUACCUGGGUGAGGAAGUAUCUUGAGCAGGAAGGUGAUUCUCCCAUGGCAAAGUUUAGCUUUUUCACUCUGUAGGAAUGACCUCAGCCAUUUUUCCAAAUAUGAAAACUCAACUUCAUGCUCUGUGGAAGAUACAAUAUUCUCUGUCC